Molecule: long non-coding RNA, 1570 nt
Filed under: Pogona vitticeps (central bearded dragon)
Lineage: Eukaryota; Metazoa; Chordata; Lepidosauria; Squamata; Agamidae
Description: lncRNA (ENSPVIG00000002614.1)
Source: RNAcentral
GCCUGCAGCCAUAGAAAUCACCUGGUUGGAGCAUCUUACCUGUCUUUCAAACCGAAGUCCUGCAGUCAUGAAACUUGUUUUUUUCCACCUUUUUGCUGCGCUGGUGGUUACAAGUGAGUCCAGUAGAAUAUGUCAGUUUGCAGCAGUAGAGACCUUUGUUUAGGGCAUGAUGGCAUACAUUCUUGGCUUUCGUUAUACUUAAGAGUAGGCCCUCUGAAAUCUAUGGGACUUCGUUAAGUCACGGCUAAAGUCUGCAUGAUUACAAUGAGUAUGCUUUGAUUGCAGUAAUUAAGAGAGCAUUAAUUACAGUGAGUAUAGUCAGUAAUCUCAAGUUACAGGAAGUACUGUACUUCAAUGCAAGGUAUCUGGGAAUGGUUUCGUUUUGAAUGGACGAUUAAGAGCCAUUGGCUUUACAAAAGACCUGCUCCUCAUUUACAGCUGUGGACUGAUCCAGCUGUCUGUUGGGGUUAGGUGGACAGGAAAAUAGGCUGGCUAUGUGGGCUGUCAUUAUGACCUCCCUUGCCAAAAUAGGAAAUAUUCUGGAUAAGAUACAAUGGAUCUUACGAGCAAAGAUGUGGGUUUUAGCUACACUUCAUUUUGGGGGAUUUGGGUCAAUUUUGAUUUUAAAAAAACAAACCCAAAAUGAAAUAAACUUCUAGCCUGUUCUUAGAAACUGUUCUAUUCCAUUUCCUCUUAUUUUCAAACCCUACAAUUUUUGAUAAUUCUGAUUUUAAAAACAAAAGGUAAAUCAGACUCACCCAUACUUUGAAAACAGUGACCAUAUAAAAAGUCAGUGUGGUUAGUGAGGCCGGGACAAUUGUGCUGAUAUGAUGAGCAGGGGAAAAUGUUUUGCUGUGCUUUGAAUUAUUUGAUGGUAGAAUUCUUUUAAUGAAUUGAAAAAAUAAUAAUAAUGAAAUACCUAACAUAUGUGUUUCCCUCAAUCUCUCUCUUCCCCUACUCACCCUCUUUUAGCAUAUGCGUUGGUUUGUGACUGCACCAAAGGGCCCGGGUGCAAUUCGGAUGGGACCUGCUCCGUUCCAGAGCUAACUGGUGUCUGCCUGACAAUGGCCCACGAGAACAACCUGGCAGGGACCAAAACAUCAGGGCUGUACAAAGCCUGCCAAUACGAUGCCCAAGCUUGCAGCGAAAAGGUCAUGUCAAUUACGGCAGAAAAAGGACUGUUUUGGAGGAGCAACACUGCAUGUUGCAAUCAAGACAACUGCAACACUGCUUCCAUCAGGGUCCCACCUAAGAACCUCACGCAGAAUGCCCAGAGAUGCCCUGCGUGUUUUACUUUUGCUUCCGAUCGCUGUGAAAAUACAGAGAGGCUGAGUUGCACAGGAGCCGAGAGUCACUGCAUCACUGUGUCCGGGAUGCUGAGUGCAGGUAAGAAGACUCUUUCUCUAAUAGUGGAGGUUCCAUUUGUUUCCUUCAUACGUUGUUGUUGUUGUUUAGUCAUGUCCGGCUCUUUGUGAUCCCAUGGACCAGAGCACGCCAGGCCUUCCUGUCUUCCACUGCCUCCUAGAGUUGGGUCAGAUUCACGUUGGUCGCUUCGAUGACACUGUCCAAC